AUACGGAGGAUCCGAGCGUUAUCCGGAUUUAUUGGGUUUAAAGGGUGCGCAGGCGGCCGUUUAAGUCAGCGGUUAAAUCGUGGCUCAACCCCAUUCUGCCGUUGAUACUGGGUGGCUUGAUUGCGGUCGAGGUUGGCGGAAUUCGUUGUGUAGCGGUGAAAUGCAUAGAUAUGACGAAGAACACCGAUUGCGUAGGCAGCUGACCAGACCGCAAAUGACGCUCAUGCACGAAAGUGCGGGGAUCGAACAGGAUUAGAUACCCUGGUAGUCCGCACAGUAAACGAUGAAUACUUGUUUUCGGCGAUAUAAUGUCGGAGGCAAAGCGAAAGCGAUAAGUAUUCCACCUGGGGAGUACGCCGGCAACGGUGAAACUCAAAGGAAUUGACGGGG
RNAcentral lists this ribosomal RNA (390 nucleotides) under uncultured bacterium. RNAcentral describes it as "partial 16S ribosomal RNA". It matches the Rfam family "Bacterial small subunit ribosomal RNA", at positions 523 to 918 of the family's 1533-position model. The record is from RNAcentral.